RNA transcript from Nothobranchius furzeri (turquoise killifish), 9388 nucleotides. It is a transcript of the gene named RNA-binding protein 4.1, with no coding region annotated. Lineage: Eukaryota; Metazoa; Chordata; Actinopteri; Cyprinodontiformes; Nothobranchiidae. The record is from RefSeq and is a predicted model, not a curated record.
CGUCCAGCUACUAUUGAUUGACAUGUUUGCCGUCCAAUCAGGUGUUUACAUGUGCGCAUACCGCCUGUCGUAUUAGCGACAUCUCUUAGACGGAGUUGCUUUCUUUGACUUUGCUGUUUUGCUAUUUUCACAGAAAGUGGAGUAAAAAUGGUGAAGAUUUUCAUUGGGAAUCUUUCUCAGAACACUGAGAAGGAUGACAUUGAAUCCCUCUUUGCAAAGUACGGCACUGUGACCGAAUGUGCCAAGUACAAAAAUUAUGCAUUCGUCCACAUGGAAGACCGCAAAUCUGCGACCAAAGCCAUUCGUGAGCUCCAUCUCCAUAAGCUGGAUGGCAGACCGAUCAAUGUGGAGCCCAGCAGAGGGAAGAACCAGGCUCCGGUCAAGCUCCAUAUAGCCAACGUUGAGAAGGGCUACGACAACGAGCUGCGAGAGCUGUUUGAGGAGUACGGCACAGUCAGUGAGUGUUCGAUUGUUAAGAACUUUGCCUUUGUGCACAUGCCCAAUCACGACGAGGCCAUGGAUGCUCUGCAGGGCUUGGACAACAUUGAGUUCAAGGGAAAGCGCAUUCACGUUCAGGUAUCAAAAAGCAGACCAAGGGGGGGUUAUGAGGAGGAAGAAUAUCCGCCUCCAGGUAGAGGAGGCUAUUAUAUGCCUCCCUAUCCAGCACCAAGACACGAUCCCCCGUACAGAAGUCGCAUGUCUGCGUAUUCUCCUCCUCCUCCCCUUCCGCCGCCACCCCCUCCACCGAGACGAGCUCCCUUUGCCGACCGUGGCUAUGGGGACAGAGCUUCCUAUCCGGGGUUGGAUUACUAUGAAAAGUACAGACCCCGUUACGCCUCUGUGAGCUACGAUGACAGGAGUGCCAUUCCCCCUCCUCCGCCACCUAUGCCUACUCUGGCUAGACCGCGUGUCGGAGUCCGGUCUCUUGACCCGUAUGAGCGGCAGCCUCUCCCUGCUCCUUCACCGUAUACAGUCAGGGACCGGAGUCCAAUCAGAAGGGUGCUGAUUCCGACUACGCCUUCCACUGGUAAUGGGUACUCCUAUGAGCGUUCUCGGCUGUCUCCAGUGUCCAGGGCUCCUGCGUACGCAGCUCCUCGGCCCAGGGCUGUGUUGUCGGAGAGAGUGCCUCCCCCGCCGCCGCCAUCAUCUCGCUUCCCAGGUUAUUAAAAAGAGAGCGCAACACAAGGUUGUUAAACUAGAAACAGGAGGAGCCCGCUGGUCAUUUCUCUUCAGAAGAUGCCUAAGAAACCAGGCUUGUCUCCGUGGAUGGGAAGUAAAGGAUCUUAUGGGCUGUUAAGAAAACACAAUCGUCUUUAUGAAAAGUGCAGAACUACAUCCAGAAAAGCUAGAGAGAGUCGGUGACCUCCCAAGAUGCCCAGAGACUCUAACCGCAGUCUGAUGAUGAGGCUGAGAUUGGUGGAUGACGAGCCUGGCCUGAACAAGAAGAUGCCUGAAAGACCAGGCUAAACACAGAAGUACAGCACUCACGCUGAUGCCACGGCUGUCAGACAUGUUACUGGUUAAGUCAUUUUCUGAAGAGAAGGCAGCACCACAUGGCCAAUCUCGCCUCUCUAACAGCAGAAGGGCGGUCCAGAGAAAAGUGCCACACAGCAGUCCUCUUUCAGAGGUUUUAGCUCAUGGAAAGCUUUCAAUGACUAUUUUUAAAAAGUUAUCAACACAAGUAACAGAUAAAUUAAUUCAGAACAAAGUUACCUCACACAAAGAUGGAAAUUAAAGAGAAAGGGGGGAGAGUUCACAAAAAUAAGCAAAGCGUGUACAAGAAUCAGCUUCUAGAUCUGCAGAAAGGGAGAGAGAAAAAUGGGGCGCACACAAAUACAGAACCAGAAUAUCACUAAGCAGGCUUAAAUGUUGUAAUCAGGGAUGUCCAGAUCCAAUCACGUGAUGGAAAAUCUGUCCCAGUCACGUGGUUUCAGACUCGAUUGGAGCUAGUGUUACUUCCCGAUCCGGACUCGGAUGAAGGGUUCAAAUUACAGGAGAGCUAUGGGAACCCCGUUCUCCUGAGAGGUUGCUCCCCUGAAACACACCAGAGGGAGUCCAAAAAAAGAUCCAGUUUCUACCUACAUUACAUUAUUUAUAUGGACUCGCAGCGCAGCGGGGAUUCUUUUGAGCGGAGGUGCAGAGUGCUGAUUAUUCUUGCGCUCCAGGCAGCUGUGCCCUGCAGAACAUUCUCAAAGGGGUGUCACCCAAAAAAUAUGUAAUUAGCACGCGGUCAAUCUUGUCCGUUCAUACUCUGGUAAUUUUGGUCUUUUAUUCGUGCCUGACCCACUCUGCCGCUGCAGCGCUCAUAACCCCUGGUCUGGUGACUCCGUCGCUGGGCAGCGCAGAGCAUGCUAGGCUAUUUUUGUGGUCAGUAGAUUCAUUUGAUCUGCUUGGUAAAAAUGUUUGUUCAUGUUUAUGUAUUUAGCAGACGCUUUUGUCCAAAGCGACUUACAAGUGAUAAUCGGCAUAUUGCCCUUGAGGCUAACAACAACAACUUGACAUCAGUCAUGGAGAGGAGGGAACAAGGAGUGGACAGUAGAGAGGGGGGACGGGUGCAGGGAGGGUGCUAGUUUAGAAGAUGCUCUCUGAAGAGCAGGGUCUUCAGGAGUUUCUUGAAAGUCAAAAAGGAAGCCCCUGUUCUGGUAGUGCUUGGAAGGUCAUUCCACAUUUGUGGAACGAUGCAUGAGAAGAGUCUGGAUUGUCCUGAGCGUGGUGUAGGCACUGCUAGCCGACCAUCCUGUGAUGACCGGAGCGGCCGGGCCGAGACGUAAGCCUUUGCAAGAGGAUUCAGGUAGAUGGGAGCCGUACCGUCUUGGACUUUGUAUGCUAGUGUUAGCUAUUUGAACUUGAUGCGUGCUGCUAGCGGUAGCCAGUAGAGCUCAAUGAACAGAGGGGUGACGUGUGCUCUUUUUGGCUGAUUGAAGACCAGACGCACCGCUGCGUUCUGGACCAUUUGAAGAGGUCUCACAGUACAGCCUGGAAGACCAGUUAGAAGGGCAUUGCAGUAAUCGAGGCGGGAGAUGACAGUAGAUUGCACCAGGAGCUGGGUGGCAUGUUGUGUUAGGCAUGGUCUGAUCUUUCGUAUGUUAUACAGCACAAAGCGGCAUGAACGAGCAACAGAGGCAACAUGAUCUUAAAAGGCCAGGUGUUCAUCAAUCACAACACCCAGAUUUCAAACUGCCUUUGAAGGAGCCAGAGAUAGGAAGUCAUUUUGGAUUGAGAUAUUGUGCUGUAAGGAUGGUUUUGCUGGGAUGACAAGUAGAUCAGUUUUAGAGAGGUUGAGUUGGAGAUGGUGGGAUUUCAUCCAUUUUGAUAUGUCAGAGAGACAGUUUGAUAUUCGUGCAGAGACAGUGUGGUCGUCCGGUGGAAAUGACAGAUAGAGCUGGGUGUCGUCUGCAUAGCAGUGGUAGGAGAAGCCAUGUGAUCGAAUGAUCUCACCCAGGGAGGUGGUGUAUAUGGCGAAGAGAAGAAGUCCUAGUACAGAGCCCUGGGGGACUCCCGUGGCGAGAUGGUGCACGGUAGAGGAUUGUCCAAGCCAAUAUACACUGAAUGAUCGUCCUGUGAGGUUCAAUUCAAACCAGGCGUGUGCUUUCUCUGUGAUGCCCAUGCUAGAGUGUGUGGACAAAAGAAAGCCAUGGUUGACAGUGUCGUAUGCAGCCGAUAAGUCGAGCAGGAUAAGCACGGAGGAUUUGGCAGUUGCUCUAGCUUCUUUUAAGGAUCCCGUCACUGCUAACAGAGCAGUUUCAGUGGAGUGGCCCUUUUUGAACCCAGAUUGGUAAGGGUCAAGCAGACAGUUUUGUGAGAGGUAUUCUGUGAUCUGCUUGAAAGCCACCCUUUCAAUGAUUUUGGACAGAAAAGGGAGGAGAGAGAUAGGUCGGUAGUUCUCCACAUGAUUUGGAUGAAGAGAUGUUUUUUUUAGCAGCGGUUUAACCUGAACAUGCUUGAGAGAGGUGGGAAAUGUACCAGAAGUCAGUGAAGCGUUGAUCACCUGUGUGACUGCUGCGGCGACUGUAGGAGCAACGGCUUAGUCGGAAUGGGGUCGAGUGGGCAUGUAGUAGGGCGGCUGCACGUGAGAAGCGUGGACACAGUUCUCAGUGACAGGAGAAAAAGAGGAAAAUGAAGCAGUAGGGCCUGAGAUGGUUGGGAUAGAAGGAGUUUGUGGUAGCGAAUGUUCAGGAGUGGCCAGUUGAGUAAACUGUUUGCUUAUAGCCGCUACUUUGUCAGUGAAGAAUGAGGCAAAGGUGUCAGCUGAUAGAUUGGAGGUAGGAGGUGGAGAUGGAGGGCUGAGCAGAGUUUUGAAUGUUGAAAAUAGUUUCUGAGAGUCAGUAGAGCUGAGACUUUUGUCAGUGUAGAAAGCUUACUUUGCAUCAGUGAUGCUGGCAGAGAAUGAGGACAGUAAUUCCUGAAAUUUCAAUUGAUCACCAGGAUCUUUUGUUUUGCGCCAUUUGCGUUCCGCAGCUCUAAGACUGGUGCGUAGAGACCGGAGGGUGUCAUUUAGCCAAGGGUACGGCUGAGAGGAUCUAGCAGGUCUAGUGGCUAAAGGACACAAGUUAAGACAAGAGCAGAGUGUGGAGCAGAGUGACUCGGUGGCAUCGUUCACUUCAUGAGCAGAGAAUGUGCUGGGAGAUGGAAGAGUGGAGGCAACAAGAGAGGAGAAGUGGUUGGGUGCCAGAUUGCGGAGGUUGCGGCAGAAUGAGACCAUUGGGGAGGAAGCAGUGGACGUCCCUUGUAGAGUCGAGCUGAAACCGAUGAGUUAAUGAUCGGAAAGAUGCAGCGGUUGACAGAGAUUGUGUCUAUGGCACAGUUUCUGGUGAAAAUGAGGUCAAGUGAUUUUCCAGCUUUGUGAGUUGGAGGUCUUUGUUCUAGUGUUAAAUCAAAUGAUGACAUUAGUGACAGGAAGCCUGAUGAGCUGGGAUUGUCCAGGUGAAUAUUCAUGUCUCCAAUGACCAUUGUGGGACAGUCGUGCUCAGGAAUGGAGGAGAGCAGGGUGUCAAGUUCAUCAAGAAAGUCUCCGAGUUUACCUGGUUGGCGAUAUAUGACAGCCAAAAACAAUUUUUUCGGUACAGUUACCUGGAUGGCAUGGUAUUCAAAGGAGUUGUAUUUAGUGAUGGUAGCAACUGACUGUAUUUCCAUUUGUUGGAAACUAACAUGCCCGUUCCACCACCUCGGCCAGAUGCACGAGAAGUGUGGUUAAUUGAGAGAGCGGAUGCGGUAGCAUUGUCACAUGGUUUGAUCCAGGACUCAAAAAUAAAAAUAAACAAUAAUGAACAAGAGUCUGCUUCUAGACCUGCAGAAAGAGAGAAGAAAAAAAAGGGACUCAACAACAAUACAACAAGAUCAAGCUAUCACUGCAUCAACUUGAUGAAGAAAUAUGUAAUCAACAUUGUUUAACUGAAGAAUCACGAUAAUAAAUCACAGUGCAUUUAGUGCCCACCAUAGUCUUAAGACGUGUUGAACGUGCCAAAGCCCAUACUUAUGAGAGCACCAUGUGAGCACCUGUGUGUGUACACGCGCUUGUUUAUGUAAGGUUUCUCUAUAGGAGCGUCCACUAGAGAGUGUGAGGGACCACAGAUCUGCCCUCUAAAGAUGUGUUGGAGACGGAAGGAGCUCCAAGUCCCAGAGAUCCAGGAGCUGCCCCAGAGCACAGGAACCCCAGGGAGACUGACCAGAAAAGCCCCUGCCUCCUUGAGAGUCACAGAGGAUGGCCCCGGGGGGCCACAGCCGGCAGAGUCCCGGGAGAUAUCGGCGGCAAGCCCACAGGCCCGCCAGCAGCCUCCCAUCCCCUAGCCGGCCAAGCUCGGGACCUAGGGGCGACCACCCCCGCCAGGGACCCAGCAGAGCCCAGGGACCCAGAUCCCAGCAGGCAGCCACUGGGAAUGGUCAGGCAGAUUCCAAAAAUCUUAAACUCCCUGACCUGGGAGCCACAACCCAGGCAGACCAAGGCACCACACUCCACACCAGGUGUGGCAGGGGGAGGGUAGGCGAAGAUGUGUAGUAGCACAAGAAGUCCCAGGAGAGGGGAGGAGUCCAAGACCCCACCUGACACAUACAGUCAUACACAAACACAGUCACACACUCCCUCCCUCAUGCUCACACAUACACAUACAACCAAAGACUUACAAAAAUUCACGCUGGACACCCACUCAUGCUCCCCAUACACACCCUAUUCACUCUGGUCCCGGUACUGCUGCACAUGGGGUACAACCAUUACCGGUUCCCAGAGUUCAACCCUUUCUGCUGGGGUGCUGAUGAGCAGGCUCCCCCGCCCAAUGCUGAGCACAGCAACUCACCACCCCAGACCCCAACCGGACGGCCAGAUCUCCCUCCUAGCCUCCAGCCCCGGGAAGCCAAGCGACAACAGAGGUGUGCCAAGACCCCUAGUCUCCCUCCGCCUGGUGUUAGUGCGUGUUGAUGAGGUGUAUUCCAUGGCUGUGGUGAGCGGGCAGUGCGGGAAUCGUCUGGCCUAUGCCAGCUGAUGCCACCGCACCACCCCACUUGCACCCAUAGCCCUCAGUGUCUAAGUGCAGUUUUAAAUUGGAAGUGGGCACCGACACUUGGGAUGAGGCUGAGAAAUCCCCCUGCCAAAUGCCGUUGAAUGUGCUCACUCCCAAGGCCCUAAGUGUGUGUUUGCGUGGAAUGUCGUUGGUGGAAGUGUUUUAGGGUGCAAAUAAAAUUGGGGGGCAGGUUGCCACAGGAAUGCGGAAAUGGGAUCCAUACCCGCACUCCCUUACUUGUCCACCCCCCAAGGUCCUAUGUGCAUGUUUGUGUGAUAAUGUAGGGAGCAGGAGGAGAGAAAUGUGUGGGGAUGGGGAGGAAUGGCUGGUUGGGCUUAGCCCUCCAGAGAGCCAGCUCCCCCACUGGGCCCAAUAGGCACCUCUGUUGUCAAAAUACCACCCAGGGCAUGGAGACCCCAGUCCAUCCUGCCAGGGCCCAAAGCAGCAGCAUUACAGGGCCUCACGGAGUCCGAGGGCACCAACCCAGCCCCACCCCAGCAGAAUAUCUACGCCCAUCCCUUCAUUUGCACAACUUCUGGAUUAUAUAAGACAUUGAACAUCCAGGUAAGGUUGGGUCCUCCCCCUCCUGGACUUCCCCCUCCCCUGUGAUGGAACAGCAGAGCAGCCAAGGUCUACCCGAGGCCCCUGAACCCGAGUCAGGCACUGCUGCCUGUUCCUGCCUUCUUCCUGGCAGCAUACAUGUCAGGACCCGACCCCCAAGGCCCCGCCCAGAUCCCCCCCCAGGGCCGGCCACCCCCAGGCCCCCACCCAGACCCACCCAGGGGCAAUGCAGCUGCCGGGCAGUGACCCAUUGCCACCGCCAAGACCUCCAAGGGGCCCCACUCACAACUGCCAGUAGCCCCCCCCCCCCGAGGCAACCCAAGCACCUCCAGAGAGGGGCAAUGGCCCCCCAGUCCCAGACACCCCCAGUGAACCCACCACCAGGGAACAUCCAGAUACUCCAAACUCAGACCCUCCACCCCCUCACCCGGAUCACAAUCCCGCAGGACAAUAUCAAUGGUCCCCCGUCAUCGCUGUGUGAUGGAACCGAUCAAAGGAGCCCAGAGAGAUUGAUUUGAAGUGGAAGCAGAGGCCAUAUCAAGUGUUAUAUGGUCUAACAAAAUAUUUCUAUACUGGUUAAUGUAGAGACUUUCUCUAUUUUUCCAAUUUGAGAGGAUAGUUUUCUUAGCGAUGCAUAUGGCAGUCAGAACCACGUGAACCAAAGAUGUUGCAAUCGGGACAUCGUCCAGGUUUCCCAGUAGACAAAGAGAGGGGGAAGUUGGGAUAUGACAUUUCAGACACUUUGACAGGUCUUCACAUACUCUACCCCAAAAUUCCUGGACAGGUGGACAGGACCACAGUGCAUGAAUGUAAUUGUCAGGAACGUUGUUUGUGCAGUGUGUACAGGUGUCAGACGACACAAACCCCAUCCUGAACAUCCGAUGACCUGUAUAGUGUACUCUGUGUAGAAUUUUGUACUGAAUUAAUUGUAAAUUGGAGUGUCUGAUCAUUUUAAAAGUUUUUAAACAAGUUUGAGACCAGAAGUCCUGGUCAAAGCUAACUGAUAGAUCCACCUCCCAUUUUUCAAUAGGGAUUGCUAUUCUAUCGUCUAUUUUGGACAGUGUCUUAUAUACUUUAGACAGUAGUUUGGGGGUUUGAGAUUAUAGAAGUCUAAUACCCUUGGUGGUGUUUUUAAUUCUACUUUAUUGAGCUUAAAAUUUUCUUUGCCUACAGAUUUAAUUUGGUGGUAUUCUUAAAACAGGGUAUCCACGGGUCCUUAAAAAGUCUUAAAAAGUCUUAAAUUUGCUUUUUCAAAUUUAAGGCCUUAAAAAUCCUUAAAAAUGACAAAUAAUCCUUAAAUACAGUUUCCAAAGGUCCUAUUUAUAAAAAAUUUCAUAAAUUUCUAGUUAGUGUUCAGCAUUUUUUGUGUAUGAUGUUGGCGUAAGUGGAACCGUACACAUUCAGUUGGUUGUGAAAGGGGCCUAUUUUAAAUGAGCACAUUAGCUGGUUAAGCUAGUGGGAGCUUGCGCCAUGGGCAUGUGAAAGUUUAAUGGUAACUGGAUAGCUUAUCCCACGUUGGCAACAUGGUUAGCACCGGUUCCAGGCGAUAGCUGGAAAUUAUAGCUUAAAGUAAAAAAAAUUGCUUAAAUUUGGUCAAAAUGGCCUUAAAAAGUCUUAAAUUUGGCUCCCUUAAACCUGCAGAUACCCUGUAAAAAGCUAUUCUUAUCUAUUCCAAAUUGGGAGACUAUUCUAUUAAAUGGGAUGAAGUCACAAAGUCGUUUAUAUUGUCAUUUCUACCACAUGUGCAGGACAUACAGAGAAACGAAAUUGAGUUUCAGUGCACACAAUUCAGAGAUCAGACAUACAAGGGUAAGACGCAUGACAAGAAUUGGUGACUGCGGUCAUUCGCAACAUGAGUCGCGCUACCUUAAUAGAUAGAUGAAAAGGGAGUUACAUGAGGAUAAUUGGGGGUAAGGUAAAAAUAAGGCAUAGCAGAGUUAGACCCAGCGGGGAGUAACAUACAAAAAAAACUUGACAUAGAAGCACAAACGGCACAAAUACAACAUCAGAGACCGAUGGGGAGGCAGGGUUGGGCGGGAUCCUGAAGCCUCCAAUGGGAGCUGCCGGUACGGCGCAUCAACCAGCUGCAGACCAACAUAUAUGUGUUCCAGGUAUAGGAUUCCUUUAUUUUUCCAGUCCGGAAGGUUCAUCAUUUUAUUCUUUUGCAAAAUGUCAGGAUUGUUCCAGAUAGGUGUGCGUCUGCAUGGUACUAGUGAAGACUCUGUCAUUUUAAGAUACUCCUACCAUGCUUUCAGAGAGGUGCUGAUACUAAUACUUUUGAAGCCUUCAUGUUUUCUUAUGCUUGAGCUAAUAAAUGGUAAGUCUGAAAGCUC